Molecule: non-coding RNA, 1281 nt
Organism: Xenopus laevis (African clawed frog)
Lineage: Eukaryota; Metazoa; Chordata; Amphibia; Anura; Pipidae
Source: the annotation of a RefSeq genome assembly
CAAUGAGGACUUAUCACCAUGGGGGAUUUAGUACUCCUUUAACUGUUACCUUUCUAUUUUUCAUAAGAAAAUUAAUUUGUCCCCUUGCACCAUAUCACAAAGUUUUAAACAGUCACAUUACCAUAUAGCUUGAUUUUUCUCAAGUAGCAUUAGACCAGCAAAGAUUUCUAACAUCAAUUGUCAGUGUCACCUUAAUUAGUGCACAGACUGUCCUUAUCAUUUCCCUGGGGUUAAGAUUCUAGAGGUCCCAUCAUUUGGCAACAAGUGUCCUAACACAACUGAAGAAGUGCAACAUACUGGAUCACAUGACUGUUCUACAUCCUGAGAGAGGAAACAGCUUAUAUGGGCUGAGUACAGGGGCUGUGCUUACUGCUCACUGUGACAUGAUGACUUCUACUGCUCCUCUCCUCUUGUCUUUAGCUUUUCUGUUUGCUGGCAUUUAUGGACAGACUGUUCAGCAACCCCUUAGCCAACUGUCUGUGAUACAGGGGGAAUAUUUACAGCUCAACUGCACACACUCUGGGGCUAAUUAUCUUUACUGGUAUGUCCAGUAUCCUAAUAAAGCUCUGGAAUUGUUGGUUAAUAAUUUGGGGCAAAAGUCAAAUGGGGAAUUUACAGUCGAAGUACAGAAGAAAGAUUUCCAUCUUUUUAAACGAGAAGCCAAAGUGACUGACUCUGCCGUCUAUUUCUGUGCUGCAAGUGACACAGUUCCACAGUCAGACCUGACACCUGUCUCAUAACUCCCCAUGUCUUUAGUUUAUCAGCCUGCCUAUUCUAAUUCUGGCCUUGAAACUGACAAUUCAGUCUGGUUCUCAGUAUCACUGAACCCAGCAAACAAAAGCCAAAUUGAAACUUCAAUGAUACUGCCAUUUUUAUUUUCUAUUGUUAUCCUGUUUAUGUCCUCAACUAUUCAUCUUCCAUUCUGACUUCCACUAUUUUAUAUGGUUGCUAGCAUAAUUAAGUUUUUGCAAGCCCAUUGGAGAUGAGAUGAAAUUACAAGCCUUAUAAUGAAAGCUCUACAUAAUUGCAAAAGUGUUUACAGUAACGUAACUGGAGGGGGGCAGGCCCUGGUGCGGGAUGAGCCGCCGGGCCCCCGCCCCCUGCAUACCUGAUUAUUUUACCCAAAAUCGGCCGAUGCGGCAGAAAAUCGGCAGUGAGCGAGCUGACGGGGGGCCCUGAGGGGGUGCGGGCCCUGGCCCAAUUGCACCCCCUGCUCCCCCGGUAGUGUUUAAACUAUACUAAGGGUCGGAUUUAUCAAGGGUCGAAGUGAAUUCGAGGGAA